GGGUGUGGCUGGGGCAGACUUGCCCCUGACGGUGGUGGCCUUGAGUUCUGGUGGGUGCCUAGCGAGGGCUUCAGAUUCAGGAGGGUGUGAUAGGCCACUGGGCAUGGCCUGUCCCGGCACCUGACCACUUGUCCCCGGGUUCCCCUGUGUGUGAACAGCUGAGCAAGACCCCCAGCCCUGGGUGCCUGGCUGGAGAGCUGCCAGCUCUGUGGGUCUUGCCAAGGGAGCUGGUUGGAGUUCAGGACCCCUUGCCUGGAGAUGAGAAAGGAGUGAGGCCUUGGGGACAAAAACCAAGCCCACAGUCACUCUGGACUCUCCUGAGAGGCCCACCCUGCAGCCUCCUCAGAUAGGGAAUUUCAAAGUUCGAUCUGCCCUGACCCGGGGUCUCCCAAGCCCACAGGAGCCACAGCUUCCCAGCCACAGGAGUUCUGGGUGAGUCCCCACGAUCUGUCCUUUCUCCUCACUGCCCUGGCUGGGUGCUGGUCACCAGGCUGUGGCUAGCCCUUUGAGCAACCCACACUGUCCUUAUCCAGGAUUCACCCUGCCGGUCCCGCACCUGUGCUCCAGCAGACCAAGGCAGGGCUGGCUGGGGCCAUCGCUGGGCAGGAAAGCCCUUUGGUUAGCUGGCUCACCCACUGCAGAUGGCUGCUGUGUGUUCUUCCCACUACAGCUGGCCACCCCAGUCAUACUCUCCACUGGUGGGUCCCUGGCUAUGGCCUCCCAGUGUUUGGGGAGUUGAGACAUCCCUUCCCUGGGCCCUAGUGAGCACGGACCUUGCUCCCUCCUGUCUGGGUGCCUUGGCCCACUGGGUAUUCAGCUUUAGGGGCCUAUGUCCAGCCACCAGGAGGCAGAGGGGGAUGUUCUGGUCCUGUGGCCUUGGGCCUAGAAGCCUCUGGCAUUCUGGCGAUGGCAUCAUGGGGCCUGGGUGCUCUGAAGCAGCAGCACCCCCAGCUCUUGUCUGGAAGGAGCCCUCUUGCCGGCUGGAAGAACUUUGAAGCAGGGUUAGGGGGUAACAUGCCCCUGGCCAUUGGAGGUCCUGGGCACUCGGGGACCUUGGGAAACUGUCAUCAGCAGUGGGUUAGUGGCUGUUGCAGCCUCAGUGCCCCUGCCAGGGCACCCAGGAGCUACCUGGGGCACACGGAUGGGCUGCCUGUCAGGAGCCACAGACACAUUCUCCUGACAGAUCCACAUGGCACUGUGGUUUUCAAGGACGGUAUCAUGUGGCAGAGAGCCCUCCAGUGGGGAGAAAUGUCCCUUCCAGUGUGGGUGGCCACCCAACACCAAUCCCUCUGGCUACGUCAGGCCUAGGAUCUGAGUCCUCCUUGGUGUGGCACAGGGAGGUUCCAGCUGGGUCCACUGGCAGGAGGACAAGGUCAGCCAGCUCCAACACACCGCCAGCCCUAGCCCACUCCCUGCUGGGGCCCAAGGUCCCACAUCGCUACCCUAGCCCACUCCCUGUUGGGGCCCAAGGUCCCAGGCUGCUCUCAGCCUGUGCAGGCCCCAGGACCUGGAGGAUGGGGACUCUUUCCCUGAGGGAGGUUUGUUCCUGCCUUACCUGUGGCAGCAUGCUGUGUGCCUCAGACACAGUGGGCACCUGAGGUACCAGGGCUGGGGCUCUGCAGGGUGAGUAUGGCGGACAGUGGCCUCUCUAGAAGCCCCAGCCACUCUGCAGGACAGCAGGAUGGCAUUCCUUAGGUUGCAAGAGGAGGAGUAAAGGCUACACUGUUGGCCACUGUGCAUCAGGAAGGAGGGUUGGUGUCCUGGCCAUGCAGUCUGGCCCCUGGGGAAGGGAAGGUGUUGGACUCUGUGGGAUGGUCUGGGGGCCCAUUCUAGGCAAUGAAAGGUAGAAGCUCCUUCUUGGGCCUGCAGACCCAGGCCUGAGCAGCACAGCUGUCCACUGCCCCUGGGCAGCUGUCCUACCCUUAGAGAAGGAAGCUGGAGGUUUGUGUGAGAAAUGUGUCACUUUCUUGGGGCCAGUGGCCACCCUGUGGCACACGUUUCCUGAGACAAGACAUUGUUAGAGCAUGCAUACCCAUGUGCCCACUUGCCCACUGACACAUACAGGUCUGCAUAAGACUCUCCUGCAUGCUCACAGACCACGCACGCCAGAUGCACACUUUCACACACACAGCAGAUGUGCACUCACAUGGACACACAAAACUCACAUGUGCACACAAGUGCAAGCUCACAGCAGGUGCACUGUCACACAUACAUAUAAAGCACAUUCACAGGCAGCACAUGUACAUAUACAACCACAUGUGGCCAGUACACAAUCAUGCCCACACAUGCUCACACACAUGCACAUGUAAGCGCACAGUCCGCGUGUGCAGACACGUGCACACACCCACCACGACUCUGACUUGGGCUGCCCUUUGUCUCUGGCCUUUUUCUCUUUGACUUUUCCUGAUUUAGGCUGCCCAGGGAGGGAGCCACAGGAAUUAAUGACUUUACACAGAAGGUUCUAGAAUGCUGAACACUAGGUGGGGGUUCCCACUGUCCAAGACUCCUGGACCAGUGCCAGAGGGGCCACCUUGAGCCCAUUAAGGGCCCCAUGCUGCCUUCUCCCUGGCUGGCUGGGCAGCUGUGCAGCACUUGUGGCCUGCUGAAGGCCUAGGGAAGCCAGGUGGGGACCCGGGGUUCCAGCACUCUCUGGUGUCCAGACCUGUUUCCGCUUAGCUGUGCUGGCCACCUGUGCCAUUCUUAGACAUGGCUUGGCCUCGUCACCCCAGGUCCUGUCUCAAACAGGUAUUGCAUGUCCACCGUGACAUUUCUGUCCCCCUGGUCACAGACUUCGAAGUCCACCCCAUCUGCAGUGGCUGGGACACCUGGAGGGUAGGCCACCUUCUCCCCACCUCCGGCUCUAGGCAGGGAAGGUGGCAGGGCCACACCAGGUCCUAAGGAAACCUAUUUAGGUGGGGAGGUGGGGAUCGUCCCCGAGGCUUCCUGAAGGCAAAAUGGGCCGAGGGCUGGGAAGCCUUUUGGAAACGCUGGGGUGCGUCUGGGCCACCCCGGCUGUAAGUGGUGUGCAGAGUGGAGGCUGUGGAUUUGUGAUGGAUCUGGGCCUGCACAGCCAGCAGAUAACACUUCAGCUGCCCUCCAUGGUCACAACCCUGUAAAACAAACAUGGUGGGGGUGGACAGCACCGCCCAUUCAGAGUAGACUUAGAGGGUCUGGGUCAUCUUGUGUCCCAGCAGGGCGGGUUGGCUUCUAGUGAGAGGCUCUGCCCAUGGCCCCUGUGGGGCCCCAGUGCACAUGGCUGGGGCAGACCUGGCACGGCCCUCAGCACCCUCAGCCAUGGUGCAGACUGCCUGUCCUGUGCCAACCUCCUGGCUACCUGCUUGUGUAUGGGAGGUGAGCUGUGAGGUACAGAGGGCUGGGCAUGGCCUCAGGGUCCACAGGCUAGAACUGCUGCCCAGGGAUCCUGGGUGGCUGUCCCAGGCCAGCUGCUCUGGUUCUGCCUGGGCCCCAGCUGAGGCCCAGAACCACCAAGGAGGGGAGGUGGUGAGGAGGGCUUCCCUACUCAAGGGCAAGACCCCACUUUCUCUCCCCUCUCUGAGACUUGAGCUCCUCCAACUGCACACGGGUGGUUCAUUCUGUGUGCCCAGAGCCAGAAUGAAGGGGGACGUGGUUUGCUGUCUGGUGAGGUGGGGCUAAGAACCAGCUCAGGAAGAGGAGGGUGAGGGAUAGGGCAGCGGAGGGAAGGUGCUCCGUGGGAGGUGAAGCCCUUGCAGUUCUGCAACCUUGGUGCCCACAGCAGGGUUGAGUGAGCACUUGAUGCUCGCCUUAUACCCUGGCAGACCCAGGGUGCUGAGUCUCAGUGGCCCUGCCCCAGAGUUCUGCAGUGUCUGACCCUCUGUCUGGUGCCGAGAGGAGGGGAUGGUUCCUGGGUCUCCUGGGCAGGAGGGCCCAUUGCUGAACGCCGCACAUCUAACUUGGACUGGGUUACACAAAGUCGUUGCCUUAAAAGCAUUGUUGACAGAAACUCACUGAGGUCAGCCCAGACCCCUGGCCUCUGUCAGGCUUGGACACCUGGGCCCCGCCUCUGGGUCAGGCAGCAUGGGGCAGUCACGAGCAGCAGAGGUCUCUCGGUUGCCUCAUGCAGAGGCGCUCGCGUUGGCUGUCCCUUUUGCUGCUGCCAUCCGCCCAGGCCAGCCUGGUGCACCCCAUGCCCGCACCCAUGCGCUGCAGUCUGUCUGGCCAGGGUGGCUGCAGCUCCCCACGCACCCUCCCGCCAUCGGCCGCCUUUGCACUUUUGUUCAUGCUCCAAAGAAUUCUUCAUGAUGCCUUUGUGCUGACGCGCACCUCUGCCCACUGCGUGCACCUAUGGACCGCGGCCUCCACCCUGCUCGUUUGUGAAUGUGCUGCCGCUGCACACUCGAAACUAGAGCUUGUGCCCCAUCUCCUAGGAACAGACACCAGGGGACAAGCACUGGUCUUCUAACGGAUUAGCCGAGACGCCAACUCAGCACGGACAGGUUGAUGCUUGUGUUACAUGAAUGGGCCAGCUCAGGCUUGCCCAGGGGACUCUGGGUGCAGAAUCCCACGCCAGGGAUGCACAUAGACAGUUCUGGAAAGUUCUGCUGCCAUGGGGCCAAGUCCAGAUGCCCAGUGGGCCUGUGCACUUAAUAAAUGCAGUGAUUCAACCUGGAUUGUGA
This 4655-nucleotide long non-coding RNA is filed under the name Marmota monax (woodchuck). Lineage: Eukaryota; Metazoa; Chordata; Mammalia; Rodentia; Sciuridae. The record is from RNAcentral.